UGGGGAAUCUUGGACAAUGGGCGCAAGCCUGAUCCAGCCAUGCCGCGUGGAUGAUGAAGGCCUUAGGGUUGUAAAAUCCUUUCGUUGGGGACGAUAAUGACGGUACCCAAAGAAGAAGCUCCGGCUAACUUCGUGCCAGCAGCCGCGGUAAUACGAAGGGGGCUAGCGUUGUUCGGAUUUACUGGGCGUAAAGCGCGUGUAGGCGGAUUUGUAAGUUGGGGGUGAAAUCCCGAGGCUCAACCUCGGAACUGCCUCCAAAACUACAAGUCUGGACCUAAGUAGAGGCAAGUGGAAUUGCGAGUGUAGAGGUGAAAUUCGUAGAUAUUCGCAGGAACACCAGUGGCGAAGGCGACUUGCUGGACUUGUGGUGACGCUGAGACGCGAAAGCGUGGGGAGCAAACAGGAUUAGAUACCCUUGUAGUCCCUGAGCGGGCUGGCAAGGCGCAU
RNAcentral lists this ribosomal RNA (447 nucleotides) under uncultured bacterium. RNAcentral describes it as "bacterial SSU rRNA". It matches the Rfam family "Bacterial small subunit ribosomal RNA", at positions 355 to 825 of the family's 1533-position model. The record is from RNAcentral.